Molecule: long non-coding RNA, 2023 nt
Organism: Alexandromys fortis (reed vole)
Lineage: Eukaryota; Metazoa; Chordata; Mammalia; Rodentia; Cricetidae
Exons: 4
Source: RefSeq, a predicted model, not a curated record
CUGCUCUGUCACCUGCACACAGCUGGAAUGGAAGAGCGCAAUUCCUGAGUGGAUUGAUGCAUACCUGAGUGGACACCCAGAGGCAAGAUCUGUGUCCCCUGAGGCGGUCCCCUGCAUCCCCGCCAUCCAGCAGGGGGGUGAGUCACCUGUCUGAUUUACAGUGUGCUUCCAACCAAACCCAAUGAAAAUCAUCUAUGCGUAUCUUAAGCACCCACUAGGAAGGAUAUAAAGUUCAGAGGCUCUGAGCCAAGGGCUGUGGCUACCUGUGGUUGGAGAACUGAACCCAGAUAGCCACCUGCUAGGCACAUGGAAAGCAGCAAGCUCUUCACCCUGCUGAGACUGUGUGUGGGACUGGCCUCUGACACAGGGGCUUAAGGAGUGAGCCCCUUCGACGCAGAGCAGUUUUAAUAAAGGCUUCUGGUAUGAGAUUGCCUUUGCUUCCACAAUUGAUGACCAAGACUCAGAGAAAAACGAGAAGCUGGGAGCCUUGAAAGGCAUGCUGGAAAUGCACCUUCUGAAGGUGACCACAGCCUAUUACAAUAACAAACGCUGUGUGCUGGAGAAGGUGCCGGCCCUUGCAGAAGACGGUCCAGGGAAGUUCAGGGUCAGCAGAGGAGCAGGCAAGGAUGCUGUCCCAGGUUUGGUGGGUGUGGUGGCCUAUCUGGGGCAUUGUGGUUUACUCUCAGUGUGGACUUAUUACUGUUCUGGAUGUGGGGGUCCCCGUCUCACUGGAGGUGUUGUUUGGUGUAUCCUGACUGAGGUCUCAGUGCAUGGCUGCUCAGUCUCAAGAUGCCAUGCCCAGAUGUCAGGAGCCUGGGUGGAUGCCCCUGCAGCCUCUGUCCCUGGCUGGCUUCUGUCUUUGCCAGGACUUUGGCAGCUUCCUCUCUGAAAUCCUAGGUUUGAUUCAGCAUUCCUUUAUCUGGGUCAGUGGGGACCAUGCCCUCCUCUCAAGGCUGCUCAUGUGUUUCGGGUACAUGCUCGUGUGUGUAUAUGUGCCAGACAGAAGCUCAGCUAGGAACUGAGAGCAAUGGCUGAGAAGGUGAGAGGGUGUCUAGAAUUUUUCUCUGUUCCCAGUAAACAGAAACCUUUAUAUUGAGGCUACAGACUACAAGACCUUCUACAUCAUCUUUUCUGGCAUUCCAGCAAAAAAUCCGUACUAUAAGACCUUGAAACUGUACAGUAAGUCCAGCCUGGACUCAUCUGGGGUUGGGAUGGGUGUCACCCCUCCUAUUCCUCACCUCUUAUACGUCACCCCACCUGGGGUGGUGAUAGGAGAGCAUCCCAGGGCUGUGUCAGGGUUGGGGGGGAGAAAGUCUGUAACUAGAGAAAUCCAGUGCCAUACUCCCUGACAGCCCGGAGCUUGGACAACACUGAUGAAGCCCUGAAAAGGUUCAAGCAUGAGGUCUUGGCAAAAGGGUUUCCAGAAGAAAGCAUACACGUUUACAAGCAUGACUGUGAGUAUACCUGACUCGGGUCAGGGCAUACCAGGAAUGGGUGAAGACCUGGGUCUGCCCUGCCUCUUUCUUGUAUCUUCAUUUGGUCUUUUUGUCUACAGUGUCGUGUGUGCCCUCCGUGGUAUCAAUGGGUGAGUCUCUGGACUAAGCUGGGGCUGUGCUGGGCACCAAGGGUUUGGUGGCUCCUUUCCCAUGGCCUUCUGAGCACAUCGGUAAUGGUAGGGGCUUACACUGGCCUGGUAUGUGUGGGCAGCUGGGUAGUGUGUUUAUUCACACUUAUUGGAGCAAGCAGAUGCAUGUUGUGAAAUGCAGGCUGCCCAAAGAUCAAGAGGGCUUAGUUGUCCAAUCUGGGCUAGUUUGUCCUCUGGCCUCAGCAACUGGAGGAGGCCUCUGUGGUGGGGUCUGAUGCUCUCCUGACCCCAUCUCAUGCUGCCCUGUCCCGCAGGGAAGUGAUCCCAGGUGCUGAAGGAGGAACUGAUGUGAGGAGAAAGCCAUAACUCUGUGCUCCUGACCUCUCCUGCCCCUACCCAAGGUGUUCCUUGCAUCUGUGCCAAAUAAACCUCGCUGCC